Molecule: ribosomal RNA, 460 nt
Filed under: uncultured bacterium
Lineage: Bacteria
Description: partial 16S ribosomal RNA
Rfam family: Bacterial small subunit ribosomal RNA
Source: RNAcentral
CCUACGGGUGGCAGCAGUGAGGAAUAUUGGUCAAUGGGCGCGAGCCUGAACCAGCCAAGUAGCGUGAAGGAUGACUGCCCUACGGGUUGUAAACUUCUUUUAUAAAGGAGUAAAGUUAAGCUCACGUGCCUUUGUGUAUGUACUUUAUGAAAAAGGAGCGUCUAAAUCCGUGACAGCAGCCGCGGUAAUACGGAGGAUACGAGCGUUAUCCGGAUUUAUUGGGUUUAAAGGGAGAGUAGAUGGGUGGUUAAGUCAGAUGUGAAAGUUUGCGGCUCAACCGUAAAAUUGCAAUUGAUACUGGCAGUCUUGAGUACAGGUGAGGUAGGCGGAAUUCGUGGUGUAGCGGUGAAAUGCGUAGAUAUCACGAAGAACUCCGAUUGCGAAGGCAGCUUACUAAACUGCCACUGACAUUGAUGCUCGAAAGUGUGGGUAUCAAACAGGAUUAGAUACCCGAGUAGUC